Molecule: non-coding RNA, 409 nt
Organism: Pelobates cultripes (western spadefoot toad)
Lineage: Eukaryota; Metazoa; Chordata; Amphibia; Anura; Pelobatidae
Source: the annotation of a GenBank genome assembly
GCAAACGUGAGUGUGGAGUUGCCUAUUUUCCCUUUAAUAAAGAGAUAUCUGCCCUCCGUGUCUCUUACUUCUGCUUCCAGGUGGAACUGGGUGUUUGCUGAGAAUAGUAUGGCUACUCCCUUAGAUUUGGUCGAGGGGUUGUGCGCGAAGUGGCCGUUGGGGUAGUGUUUGUUGGAGAACUUCGGGGCCUGGGGUGCGUGAAAAUGGGUUUCCUGGAAGAAGGCUAUCGACACUCCCAGUGCUCUGAGUUCCCGUAACGCUCUGGCACGUUUAUGAGGAGAGUUGAGGCCUCUCGCGUUGAGCGUGUAGAGUUUGAGGUGGUCCCAGUUGGGUCUGCCCGCGUAGGGGGCGUGGGGUGGGCCCAUGCUGUGGGUGUCGCCCCCGGGCCGGGCCGGCUGGUGGACCAGGG